RNAcentral lists this long non-coding RNA (289 nucleotides) under Nicotiana tabacum (common tobacco). Its description in RNAcentral is "long non-coding RNA (NTAB_LNC011650)". The record is from RNAcentral. Lineage: Eukaryota; Viridiplantae; Streptophyta; Magnoliopsida; Solanales; Solanaceae.
AGGCGCCCACCUAGAGAACGAGGGAAUUCAUUUCAGUUUUAAGUCAAAAUCAGGCACCCACCUGGAGAACGAGGGAAUUUAUUUCAGCCCACCUGGAGAACGAGGGAAUUUAUUUCAAGUUUUAAGUCAUCAGGUGCCCACCUGGAGAACGAGGGAAUUUGUUUUAAGUUUUAAGUCAUCAGGCUCCCACCUGGAGAACGAGGGAAUUUAUUUCAAGUUUUAAGUCAUCAGGCACCCACCUUGAGAACGAGGAAAUUCAUUUUAAGUUUAAGUCAUCAGGCGCCCANNN